This 253-nucleotide ribosomal RNA is filed under the name uncultured bacterium. RNAcentral's name for it is "partial 16S ribosomal RNA". It matches the Rfam family "Bacterial small subunit ribosomal RNA", at positions 524 to 776 of the family's 1533-position model. The record is from RNAcentral.
UACGGAGGGUGCAAGCGUUAUCCGGAUUCACUGGGUUUAAAGGGUGCGUAGGCGGGCUUGUAAGUCAGUGGUGAAAGCCCGGAGCUCAACUCCGGAACUGCCGUUGAUACUGCAAGUCUUGAGUGCACUUGAGGUGGGCGGAAUACAUCAUGUAGUGGUGAAAUACUUAGAUAUGAUGUAGAACACCGAUUGCGAAGGCAGCUCACUAAAUUGCAACUGACGCUGAGGCACGAAAGCGUGGGGAUCAAACAGG